CCAACACAAUAACUAAAUGAAAAUUCAUGGAUUAUUGUAAGAAUUUAAUUUAUAUACAAAUUGUUGGUGUAAGAUAACUUUACAUUGACAAUAGAUAAUAAUUAAACUCUUAUUAUAAUAGGGCAUUUGUGUACUCUCUUACGUAAGACACGCCAUACAUAAUCAAAUAUGAACAUUAUAUUUUAUGCCACGGUAGAACACAUUGACAAUACCUUUGGAACAUACAUUUCGGGAUGAAAGGAGAUUGGCAUCUUUGUUUAGUACAAUCUGAAUCUCUAAAACAUGAUUGGCGUUUUGUGUAACGUCCCGCUGUAAUGAUAAGAUAUAAUAAAAUAGUAUGAUUAAAUUGUUAUAAAACAUGUAAAAAUUAAAGAAGGAAAAUUAAAUUGCACUUUUAAACUCCUAAUUUUUAUAAACUUGCGAUUUUAAUUAACUCUUUAACUUUGAAAAUAAUACUUUUAGUCUUUUAACUUUCACAAACUUGAGAUUUUGACCACCUAAUUUAGCCCUUUUAAAAAAAGGAUGAUCCGCGCUGAUUUUGAUCAAAUCAACGUAUAUGUAGCAAAUGACUCAUAUGCCACAUCAGCAUGUUUUGCCACAUGGACAAUGACGUGACGUGAAUCACUUGCCACAUUUGCAUUGACUUCAUCAAGGGGUCAAAAUUGCAAGUUUUGUGAAUAUUAGAGGGCCAAAAUUUCUAUUUUAAAAGUUAAGAGCAUAAAAUUGCAAAUUUGUAAAAAUUAAGGGGUCAAAAGUAUAAUUUAACCGAUAAUAAACUUUAAAAAGGACCAAAAUGACUUACCUUCGACGUUUGUUACGACAAGAAAUAGCAAAAGAAAAAUAAUUAUAUCAUAAACUAAGUUUAUAAUUUUAGUCAUAAUUAUAUUCUCUACAAGACAUGUAACAAUUAG
Molecule: long non-coding RNA, 911 nt
Filed under: Trifolium pratense (red clover)
Lineage: Eukaryota; Viridiplantae; Streptophyta; Magnoliopsida; Fabales; Fabaceae
Description: long non-coding RNA (TPRA_LNC003979)
Source: RNAcentral